GCCAAUGCAUGCUUUUACAGUAUGGAAAUUGGUGAUUUAUAAUAACUUGGCAAAUCGCAAAGUGAAAACAGGCGAUAAAUCAUUCAAGUUUCUGACCUAUCAGCUUUCGACGGUAUGGUAUUGGCUUACCGUGGCAGUGACGGUUAACGGGGGAUUAGGGUUCGAUUCCGGAGAGGGAGCCUGAGAAACGGCUACCACAUCUAAGGAAGGCAGCAGGCGCGCAAAUUACCCAAUUCUAACAGUUUGAGAGAGGUAGUAACAAGAAAUAACAAUACAAGGCAAUUAAAAUGCUUUGUAAUUGGAAUGAUAGAAAUUUAAACCCUUUUUAAAGUAUCAAUUGGAGGGCAAGUCUGGUGCCAGCAGCCGCGGUAAUUCCAGCUCCAAUAGCGUAUAUUAAAAUUGUUGCAGUUAAAAAGCUCGUAGUUGAAGUUCUGCUAAAAGUAACCGGUCUGCUUUUAAUAAAAGUGGUAUCUUGGUGUGUAUUUAGCAAUGAUGUCCUUUGAAGUGUUUUUUACUUUAUUGUAAUAAAGCAUAUUCAGGACUUUUACUUUGAGAAAAUUAGAGUGUUUCUAGCAGGCCGACGCUUUGAAUACUG
This 595-nucleotide ribosomal RNA is filed under the name Hepatozoon canis. RNAcentral describes it as "bacterial SSU rRNA". It matches the Rfam family "Eukaryotic small subunit ribosomal RNA", at positions 221 to 804 of the family's 1831-position model. The record is from RNAcentral. Lineage: Eukaryota; Apicomplexa; Hepatozoidae.